AGCAUAUCAAUAAGCGGAGGAAAAGAAACCAACAGGGAUUACCUCAGUAACGGCGAGUGAAGCGGUAACAGCUCAAAUUUGAAAUCUGGCUCUUUCAGGGUCCGAGUUGUAAUUUGUAGACGAUGCUUUGGGUGUGGUGCCGGUCUAAGUUCCUUGGAACAGGACGUCAUAGAGGGUGAGAAUCCCGUAUGUGAUCGGUCGCCUUCGCCCGUGUAAAGCUCGUUCGACGAGUCGAGUUGUUUGGGAAUGCAGCUCAAAAUGGGUGGUAAAUUUCAUCUAAAGCUAAAUAUUGGCCAGAGACCGAUAGCGCACAAGUAGAGUGAUCGAAAGAUGAAAAGCACUUUGGAAAGAGAGUUAAACAGUACGUGAAAUUGUUGAAAGGGAAGCGCUUGCAACCAGACUUGGGCUGUCGCAAUCAUCCGGGGCUCGCCCCGGUGCACUUGUGGCGGCACAGGCCAGCAUCAGUUUCGGUGGUGGGAUAAAGGCCUUGGGAAUGUAGCUUCUUUCGGGGAGUGUUAUAGCCCUCGGUGCAAUGCCGCCUACCGGGACUGAGGAACGCGCUUCGGCGAGGAUGCUGGCGUAAUGGUUGUAAGCGACCCGUCUUGAAACACGGACCAAGGAGUCUAACAUCUAUGCGAGUGUUUGGGUGUCAAACCCAUACGCGUAAUGAAAGUGAACGGAGGUGAGAACCCGUUAGGGUGCAUCAUCGACCGAUCCUGAUGUCUUCGGAUGGAUUUGAGUAAGAGCAUAGCUGUUGGGACCCGAAAGAUGGUGAACUAUGCCUAAAUAGGGUGAAGCCAGAGGAAACUCUGGUGGAGGCUCGCAGCGGUUCUGACGUGCAAAUCGAUCGUCAAAUUUGGGUAUAGGGGCGAAAGACUAAUCGAACCAUCUAGUAGCUGGUUCC
This 904-nucleotide ribosomal RNA is filed under the name Tricladium varicosporioides. RNAcentral's name for it is "Hymenoscyphus varicosporioides partial large subunit ribosomal RNA". It matches the Rfam family "Eukaryotic large subunit ribosomal RNA", at positions 37 to 958 of the family's 3401-position model. The record is from RNAcentral. Lineage: Eukaryota; Fungi; Ascomycota; Leotiomycetes; Helotiales; Tricladiaceae.